UUAUCACUGUGAAUACCCCCCCUCAAAAGUUUUUCUGGAAGUUAGGUAUCAACAUGCGUAAAAGAUAACAGUUUGCUUUUAUAUUUAGGGUCCAGAAACAACUGCAUUUUUUGAGAAAAUAAAAAAGGCCUUGACUUACCUCAUCUCUGUAUUUCAACCAAAAUCACAGUGAGAUGACUUUUGGAAGACGGCAGACCUCGUUGAUGUUGACUUCCUGCCCGUAUGCUUUGUGCACCACCACCUCAACCUAAUGAAAUGAAAAGAAAUGCAAAUCAUAGUAGUAAAGUCUAGGAAAAAAGUUAAUUAUACUUAUCGAUUUUGUAACAAAGGGCUGAGGACAAUAAAAACAGUUCCAUGCUUGCCCCGGAGGAUGGCCUAAGCUUUGCAAAAAAAUAUAAAGAAAACUUCAACU
Molecule: long non-coding RNA, 412 nt
Organism: Sphaerodactylus townsendi
Lineage: Eukaryota; Metazoa; Chordata; Lepidosauria; Squamata; Sphaerodactylidae
Exons: 4
Source: RefSeq, a predicted model, not a curated record